This 392-nucleotide ribosomal RNA is filed under the name uncultured Barnesiella sp. Its description in RNAcentral is "bacterial SSU rRNA". It matches the Rfam family "Bacterial small subunit ribosomal RNA", at positions 355 to 747 of the family's 1533-position model. The record is from RNAcentral. Lineage: Bacteria; Pseudomonadati; Bacteroidota; Bacteroidia; Bacteroidales; Barnesiellaceae.
UGAGGAAUAUUGGUCAAUGGCGAGAGCCUGAACCAGCCAAGUCGCGUGAGGGAGGAAGGUCCUACGGAUUGUAAACCUCUUUUGCCGGGGAGCAAAGAGGCCAUUGAUGGCAGGAUGAGCGUACCCGGAGAAAAAGCAUCGGCUAACUCCGUGCCAGCAGCCGCGGUAAUACGGAGGAUGCGAGCGUUAUCCGGAUUUAUUGGGUUUAAAGGGUGCGCAGGCGGGCGUCUAAGUCAGCGGUGAAAGUUCCCGGCUCAACCGGGUCAGUGCCGAUGAUACUGGGGGCCUUGAAUGCGGUCGAGGCCGGCGGAAUGUGGCGUGUAGCGGUGAAAUGCAUAGAUAUGCCACAGAACACCGAUAGCGAAGGCAGCUGGCCGGCCUGCAUUGACGCU